UGACGGUCUUGCUCAGGCCGUUCUGGGUGAUGCUGAUGCCGUUGACGGUCUUGCUGAGGCCGUUCUGGGUGGUGCUGAUGCCGUUGACGGUCAU
This 94-nucleotide transfer RNA is filed under the name Streptomyces roseolilacinus. Its description in RNAcentral is "tRNA-Ile". The record is from RNAcentral. Lineage: Bacteria; Bacillati; Actinomycetota; Actinomycetes; Kitasatosporales; Streptomycetaceae.